Molecule: long non-coding RNA, 555 nt
Organism: Chelonia mydas (Green sea turtle)
Lineage: Eukaryota; Metazoa; Chordata; Testudines; Cheloniidae
Exons: 3
Source: RefSeq, a predicted model, not a curated record
UCAGAAAAGGAAAUGGAAUAGGAGAUAUGGAUUCAAGUAUUUUCUCUGAAUCAGGUAUUGAGAACCUUUGAAAAUCCAGAAAGGGAAAAAAGAAAUCUUCCUUUUCCAUAGUGGUCACCUUUGAGUGCAUAUCUGGAGGGAACAAAUGAGGUUGAGUGGGCAUGUAUGGGGGAUGGGUCAAGGGAAUGGAGGUACGUACCCUAGGGGAAACAUUGGAAAGAAAGUCUGAACAAUUGCAUAAGUGUGUAGGGGUAGAGAGCGUGAAUGGUGUGAGAAAAAUAGAGAGGAAGAAAGGAGAGGAGGGAAAGAUUUGGAUUUUAAAAAUAUCCCAGUGAGGAAAAAGAAAAGGAAAGGGCCGGAAAGAUGGAAGAGUGAUACAAGAAAAUAACCAAGUGGUAGAAAAAGAAGGCAGAAGAGAUACUCCUACAUGUGCAGUCACCAGAAAGAACAAAGGAACCACAUGCUAUGGAGACAUAUUCUCCAGGAUUCAACUGCAUGCAAAAUGUAACCUUUCGCUUUUCCUGUUACUUAUAAGGAGUAUUGUGGACAGAGCAG